AGCAUAUCAAUAAGCGGAGGAAAAGAAACCAACAGGGAUUGCCCUAGUAACGGCGAGUGAAGCGGCAACAGCUCAAAUUUGAAAUCUGGCGUCUUUGGCGUCCGAGUUGUAAUUUGCAGAGGGCGCUUUGGCAUUGGCAGCGGUCCAAGUUCCUUGGAACAGGACGUCACAGAGGGUGAGAAUCCCGUACGUGGUCGCUAGCCUUUACCGUGUAAAGCCCCUUCGACGAGUCGAGUUGUUUGGGAAUGCAGCUCUAAAUGGGAGGUAAAUUUCUUCUAAAGCUAAAUACUGGCCAGAGACCGAUAGCGCACAAGUAGAGUGAUCGAAAGAUGAAAAGCACUUUGGAAAGAGAGUUAAAAAGCACGUGAAAUUGUUGAAAGGGAAGCGCUUGCAGCCAGACUUGCCUGUAGUUGCUCAUCCGGGUUUUUACCCGGUGCACUCUUCUACGGGCAGGCCAGCAUCAGUUUGGGCGGUUGGAUAAAGGUCUCUGUCAUGUACCUCUCUUCGGGGAGAACUUAUAGGGGAGACGACAUGCAACCAGCCUGGACUGAGGUCCGCGCAUCUGCUAGGAUGCUGGCGUAAUGGCUGUAAGCGGCCCGUCUUGAAACACGGACCAAGGAGUCUAACAUCUAUGCGAGUGUUUGGGUGUCAAGCCCGAGCGCGUAAUGAAAGUGAACGGAGGUGGGAACCUUUCGGGGUGCACCAUCGACCGAUCCUGAUGUCUUCGGAUGGAUUUGAGUAAGAGCAUAGCUGUUGGGACCCGAAAGAUGGUGAACUAUGCUUGAAUAGGGUGAAGCCAGAGGAAACUCUGGUGGAGGCUCGCAGCGGUUCUGACGUGCAAAUCGAUCGUCAAAUUUGGGCAUAGGGGCGAAAGACUAAUCGAACUAUCUAGUAGCUGG
This 899-nucleotide ribosomal RNA is filed under the name Microsphaeropsis sp. RNAcentral describes it as "partial large subunit ribosomal RNA". It matches the Rfam family "Eukaryotic large subunit ribosomal RNA", at positions 37 to 954 of the family's 3401-position model. The record is from RNAcentral. Lineage: Eukaryota; Fungi; Ascomycota; Dothideomycetes; Pleosporales; Didymellaceae.